Molecule: transfer RNA, 70 nt
Filed under: Oryzias latipes (Japanese medaka)
Lineage: Eukaryota; Metazoa; Chordata; Actinopteri; Beloniformes; Adrianichthyidae
Description: tRNA-Asp
Rfam family: tRNA
About the family: Transfer RNA (tRNA) molecules are approximately 80 nucleotides in length. Their secondary structure includes four short double-helical elements and three loops (D, anti-codon, and T loops).
Source: RNAcentral
AAGAUUCUAGUUAAAGUUAUAACACUGCCUUGUCAAGGCAAAGUUGUAGGUUAAACCCCUACGUAUCUUG